AGUAGAGUGGCUGAGGUUAUAAGUGGUAGAUUGUAAGUCUAUUAAGGGGUUUACCCCUCUACUA
This 64-nucleotide transfer RNA is filed under the name Neotermes sp. A TB-2014. Its description in RNAcentral is "tRNA-Tyr". The record is from RNAcentral. Lineage: Eukaryota; Metazoa; Arthropoda; Insecta; Blattodea; Kalotermitidae.